Molecule: ribosomal RNA, 304 nt
Filed under: uncultured bacterium
Lineage: Bacteria
Description: partial 16S ribosomal RNA
Rfam family: Bacterial small subunit ribosomal RNA
Source: RNAcentral
CAGCAGUAGCCACGGUAAUACGUAGGUCCCGAGCGUUGUCCGGAUUUAUUGGGCGUAAAGCGAGCGCAGGCGGUUUGAUAAGUCUGAAGUUAAAGGCUGUGGCUUAACCAUAGUACGCUUUGGAAACUGUUUAACUUGAGUGCAAGAGGGGAGAGUGGAAUUCCAUGUGUAGCGGUGAAAUGCGUAGAUAUAUGGAGGAACACCGGUGGCGAAAGCGGCUCUCUGGCUUGUAACUGACGCUGAGGCUCGAAAGCGUGGGGAGCAAACAGGAUUAGAUACCCCAGUAGUCCCUGUCUCUUAUACA